GUGAGGAAUUUUCCGCAAUGGGCGAAAGCCUGACGGAGCAAUGCCGCGUGAAGGAUGAAGGCCUAUGGGUUGUAAACUUCUUUUCUCAGAAAAGAAUUAUGACGGUAUCUGAGGAAUAAGCAUCGGCUAACUCUGUGCCAGCAGCCGCGGUAAGACAGAGGAUGCAAGCGUUAUCCGGAAUGAUUGGGCGUAAAGCGUCUGUAGGUUGUUUAAAAAGUAUUCUGUCAAAGAUUAGUGCUUAACCCUAGAUAGGCAGAAUAAACUUUUAAGCUAGAGUUUGGUAGAGGCAGAGGGAAUUCCCGGUGGAGCGGUGAAAUGCAUAGAUAUCGGGAAGAACUCCAAAGGCGAAGGCACUCUGCUGGGCCAAUACUAACACUGAGAGACGAAAGCGAGGAGAGCAAAUGGGAUUAGAUACCCGGGUAGUCC
RNAcentral lists this ribosomal RNA (426 nucleotides) under uncultured bacterium. Its description in RNAcentral is "partial 16S ribosomal RNA". It matches the Rfam family "Bacterial small subunit ribosomal RNA", at positions 354 to 796 of the family's 1533-position model. The record is from RNAcentral.